Non-coding RNA from Dama dama (fallow deer), 465 nucleotides. The record is from the annotation of a RefSeq genome assembly. NCBI's taxonomy places the organism in Eukaryota, Metazoa, Chordata, Mammalia, Artiodactyla, Cervidae.
UGCUGCGGGCUCAGAGGCAGAGCUCAGGGCGCGUCCACCAUGGCCUGGACCCCUCUCCUGCUGCCCCUCCUCACUCUCUGCACAGGUCACCUGGCUUCUUCCCAGCUGACUCAGCCACCUGCAGUGUCCGUGUCCUUGGGACAGACGGCCAGCAACACCUGCCAGGGAGACGACAUAGGAAGCUCUUAUGCUCAGUGGGACCAGCAGAAGCCGGGCCAGGCCCCUGUGAAGGUCAUCUAUCAGUACAAUCAGAGACCCUCGGGGAUCCCUGACCGGUUCUCUGGCUCCAGCUCUGGGGACACGGCAACCCUGACCAUCAGCGGGGCCCAGGCCGAGGAUGAAGCCGACCUUUACUGUCAGUCAGCUGGUAUCAGUAGUGGUACCCACUGGGUAUUUCAGAACAGCACUUCUCAGUUGGGACUGCCCACCUUGGCUUCUGGCCACCAUAUUAGGCUGAGCAAGUGA